Molecule: long non-coding RNA, 9901 nt
Filed under: Gallus gallus (chicken)
Lineage: Eukaryota; Metazoa; Chordata; Aves; Galliformes; Phasianidae
Description: lncRNA (ENSGALG00010018171.1)
Source: RNAcentral
UGAGCCUUUUUGCUUGGGUACGAUGCUUGCCUUCUGGGACACGAGGUUUUUUUAUCCAUCUCAUAGAGUAAUGCACUGAAGGAGCCAACGAUGCUGGAGGUCAGCGAAACAAAGAAGAAAUUUUUGGAACCCAUUUUCUUAACAAGAUGACCGCGAUGAUGACAAAGUUUCCCCAUCUUCUUCAGACAUGACUCUCCCCAUUGAGCCCAUUCUUCACUGCAUGACGCUUGAACAAACUCCUGUGGAGUGAACUGUUGCCAGAUGGGAAGAAAGCAGCAUGCUGGCUAUGCUGGGUGCUGUUAUGAGCGUAUCAGUGAUUGACAAGGCGAUUCACGCAAGUGGAUGUAGCUGGCAAAGUAUUGUCAGAUGCCCAGGGAUGAAAAGUUCUCCAAGCAUGCAGAGUGCUGCUCUGAAUUAGCAUCAGCAUCCAGCAGCCAGGCCACAGGGCUGUGGGCUGAGUCACAAAGUACGAACUUUCCAGCUAGACGAACAACCUGGCAGAGGAAAGCAGAUGCUGGAGGAUGGGACGGCAGGAGUUACGCAUGCGUGGAGAAGAAAGGAGAUGUGAGCAGGGCAGGCAUGCAGCCUUUGGAGAACUGCCAGUUGCUGCCAUGGAGAAUGAAGAGGGCACGUUACCCUCUGGGGCUGAGCCUCCCCUGGGCUCAUGCCUUGGUUUGGGAUGCCCCUCGGUGCAAGGCUUGAGGUGCUGAGCGAGUGCCAGCGAACAGAACAGGGAGCUGCAGUGGGACAGAGACGAGAGCAUUUGCUUGGAAGCGUUCUGCUGCUUUCCUGCCAGGUGUUUCUAAGAGCAUCCCCUGAACUGCCUGCAUUCCUGCUGCAGAUUAGAAGCACGUGGAGAUGGAGGAUAAAAGGGGCGUUAGCAAUUAGCUCUGGUGAUGCCUUCAGCUGCUGAAAAAGUUGCACUAGCGAAGAACUAUUAAUUGAAAUCCCCGGUUCAUACAGAGCUGUCAGUAAUGAAUGCAUAAUGGAGAAAGUCCAUUUAAUUUUUAAUUAUCACCGUCUCCCUCCAAACAAAUACAACGCGUUAAAUCUUCCUGUCACCUUCAGCCACGCAAAGGAUGUUUGAUGGAAGUCUUCAUUAACCCCAGGUCUGCUCAGGGCAUCCUGCCAGGCCAUUAGCUAGUUAGUUACAAUAGCAAUGACUGGCACUUGGCAUGAGAAAGCCCGGGUGGCCCUCGCCAGGUCCAGAACGUGGCAGGAAUUAACUCUGUGUGAUCAUUGCAGGAGGAGGCUGAAAUCCCUUGGCUGAGCUUUCUGAGCUGGCGGGGUCUGGAGCACAUCGUGCAUCUGAUUGGGGGCUGUGGGAGCUCAAGGAGACCCCGUUAAGUCUCAGUUCCCAGCUGAAAUCCUGGUUGGUUUGGGGGCCCCUUCCAAACAUGACCUCCGGGGGACUCCUGGCAGGUCUGCCAAAGCAGCAGCACAGUCUGUCUUCCAUAGAUUGAGGAGUAUGGAUGUGUUUAUGCUCCAGUCUGAGCAGCGGGACGUGCACUGAAUGAAGUACUUAAGUCCUGAAGGAGAGUACUGACACAGUGGCCUGAAUUCCAGCCUGUGCUAUGGGGUUUGGAUGUGGAGCAUAUUUAAUGACCCUAUUUAGGAUUUGACCAAGGAUCUACUGGAAGCCAGCUUGAGAAGAAACUGCCAUGGGCUUUUGGUGAACCAUAGCUGGCCUGGGAUUCCCAUUUCAGCUAAAAGCACAAGGCCUGUUCUUGGUCGGGUUAAUCCAGGUGGAAUCAUCUUGCUAAUGACCAGUGCUGUCGGAGGCUGCAUUCUGCUUUACAGGUGAUUUAAAUCAGAACCGAUUCUCCCAGAUUUGGAUGAAGUUAACAAUGUGAAGCUGAUGGAAGCUGGGUGAAAAAUCAGACCACGAUUAUCCGCUGAAAGCAUGAAUAGAUGCAAGCAAGCAGCUCUGACUUCCCGGGGGCAUUGGCUCAUGGGGAGCUGCUGGAACGUCGUGCUUGGGAAGGGUCUGAGGUGAGGGUUUACAGCUCUAAAAAGUCACCUUUCAACACCUGUCCCAGACGUGUCCUUACAUUUACUAUUUCUGGCAUCUCACUCUCAAAUGAGUUUGCCUACAGACAGCCUUCUGGGGAUUCAAUUAAACUCUCAAAUAAAAUAAACGCUAUCCCUUAGUAAGGGCUUGAAUGCUAAGCAGAGCCAUUAUUUGAACGAAAACGGGGCUGUAAGUUUCAGUGUUGUGUCCUCUGUUUUCAUCAGCUGGGGGUCAGAAACAAGUGAAGAUGGGAAAGCCCUGUUCAUUAACUCAGUACAUCCACCCUCAGAGCUUCUCUGCUGCUUUGAAGUGAGCAAAACACCUAUAAGCAUUUUGUUUGGCAGCACUCCUGCAAGUCAGUGACUCAGGGUGAAGUCACUGCAACAGCUCCUGUUCUUUCUCAGCUGAUAAACCCCCUGGAUAUGUAUUGCAUGGGCAGUGCAGUGACUCUGAGCCCUGGGCUCUGGUGUCAUUUACCUGUUGAGUGACCUGGGGCAAGUUCACAUCUUUGUUGUUGUCUAAUUCCAGUACUUGCUUGGUGUGAAGUGAUCUACAGGUCAUCCUGUGGAUGAAGUCUCAGUUCUUAGAAUCUUUAGUCCAGACUUGUUUAUUUUGGCCAUGGAGAAGGGCAUGCCUGGGCAUGUACGGAAAUUGGGUGAGCUGCUGCCACAGGGAAUUGUGGCCAGUCUGCAAUGGAGGAAUGUGGCCAGUGGAAGGAUCCCAAAAUUGAGAUCUCACACCAGAAACGUUUGGCGCACCAGGUCCAGAUCUUGGGCAAGAUGUUCCCUGAGAUGUGUUUGACAAUUGCAGUGCAGCUGCAGCUUAUGUGAAGUUUCUUUUGAACCUUAUCAUAAAUUCCAAUCUGCUGCAAUUUCUGGUUGAUUCCAUCUCACCUGAAGCUUGCUUUGCAGCUGAUCUGCAGGCACCAAUACAGGCCAGAAACAGUGGCCACUCUUUGAAGGCUGCUGGCAGCGUAAGCUGGAGUGCAGGAGUCAUCCUUCUGCUCUGCAGAGCACUGGGAGACUUCAGCUCUUGUUUGGGGCACUGAACUCUGAGAGUGAUGGAAUCCAAUUAACAGAGAAAACUGCAGAGAAGACUGAUGAAAUGAUCAAGAGGUCUGGAAAACUGUGGCCAACAGAGUAGAGGGAAAUAAUUGGAUUGUGUAGCUUAAAGAGAAAACUAAGUGAUAAUAAUCUGAGUGGAUAAAAGGUGGCUGCAGGAAGGGAGUGGUGCCUUCUUCACAUCUCCUGCAGCUAAGAAAUAGCAGGUGCAGUUUGCAACGAGGAAGAUCCAAAUUAAGUAUAAGGCAAACCUUUUCCAUGGCUUUUAUUGCCUCUUCCAGCAAAGGCAAAGGAAUGAAGACUUCAGGUUAAACAAACGUGUAGCAGGAAUGAUGUCCAGAGCUCCCGCUCCCAUGAAACAGGAGGCUUAACUCCAUAAAUAACACAGAUCGUUUCUCUUUUUCAGUGAUCCUAAGUACACAGGGGCUUAUUGAAACCCAGACAUAGCUGGCCAUCCACAUGCAUGCGCUUUGUUCUCUUCCAAAUACUUGCAUACAAAUGAUGCUAGAAGAUAGCAGACCUUCGUGAGGUCUCCCUGUCAGGUCCUCCAAGGUGAUUUGACCUCCUUAAUUUGAGCUCUUCUUGUAAUUAGCACAGCUGUGCUGUUCUUAAGGUUUUGGCACCGUGCAGCCAAUUGCAGUCUUAGCAGCUCUCUUAUUGUUAAGAUGCUAUUUUUUUAUUUAUAUCUCUUCGUCUAAGAGAAGCUAUGAUAAAAAGCUGCAGAGAUUUUUAAGCCGGCUUUGCUGCUUGUUGCAGCUGCACGCAGCCUGGGGUGCACCCAUUGCUCUGCGUGACAGCUGGAUGGGAACUGUUGAAUCAGGGCCUCAACCUCUGAUUGACCACCUGAGCAAGCACUGAGUCAGGCACGGAGCACAGGUGAAGGCAAUCCACCUGUGAUUGGAAGGGCUGGAGCCAGGCUGCACCUCUCCUAGACCCCAUUUAAGGGCUGACUGCUGUUGAGGAAGGAUCUGUUCCUUGUGAUUGAUCCUCGUGGAGUUUUUGUGAGCCUACGAUGCUGGUGGAUUGAUGAGCUCCUGAGCCAGCCAAAGACAUCCCAGGUCUGAGGCGAGCAAGGCAAGAGCUCCAUCCCUGUUGUGUCAGGCCAGAUGGAAGCAGUACUGGGCCAACACUUGCCAUGAAGUAAGAAUUUGUUUCUUUCUUGAUGCCAAGGAACAAUGAUACUAAAUGGAAGGAGGGGAAGAAAAGAGCACACACCUACAAACUGAAAGAGGAGCGGUUAGCUACCUUCUUGCAUGUGCUGGCUCUCUUUGAACACCUCCAUCACCACCUAAGGGAGAAUGUGGAGAGGUGCUUUGUCCACUGCAAUCUGUUCCUGGAUGGGACGACACUUGAAUGACUGGAGCAUGCCGGAGCCAGGUGAAUGAUGCCCAGGGCUUCCCAGGCUUGGAGCUGUUGCCAGCUGUUGGGUUGCUGCUCUUGGAUCCCUGUACCUGCACCUGCCUGGUUGCUGCUGGGAGGAGAUGUGCCUUGCUCAGAGAGCAGGUGAUGGCAGCUCAAGGCAAAGUACAACAGCGUAGAACCAACAAAAAAUGAGCAGGUUGAGACCUAUGUUGUGCAGGCAGGAUGCAGGAGGAGGCCAUCUGUGGGAGCAGUGGGACACGUGUCAUCCCAGCAAGGCAGCAAGACAGAAUCUUCUUCCUGCAAAACCCAGCAAACACCAGCGUAGAGAAAGGAAACCUCAGUCUUGAAGCAGAAGAUAAGGAGCAGAAUGACCUUGCAUCUUCCAUCCAUACACCUGAGGUUAACAGUCGAGGAACCUGAGGCCAGGUGGGAUGAGAGCGCACAGGGUUGGUGCCCGUGGCACUGCUGGACUCGGAGCUGCAGAACCACCAUGUCCUCUCUCCUUAUCAUCCUCCACAUGCUCCUUUUUGGGUAUUUUGCAGCACUUUGAGGCUGGGAGAAGUGGUGCAGCAGCAAUGACAACCAGGACAUUGUCCCCUUGGGACAUGCAUUGAGCGAGACCCGGCUGCCUGCCUUAGCCCUUGAAAGGAAGGGGUGAAGGAAAAUGGGAAAAGGAGAAGGUGGGAAGGAGAACGAGAGAGAAAAAUGAAUUGCUUAAAACUUCUAUUACUCUUCAUUACCUUCUGCUUUAUCAGGAGGAAAACCAGCACCCGAGCCAGCCCUGUGCUCCAUGCAUCUCCUUCACCAGGCCUGGGGAGAAGCACGGAGCUCACUCCAUGCUGGAACGAAUUGCAGCCUGGAGCAGGUCUUAAAGAAAGGCAUGCAGAAAUUCAGGUUUGACACUGAAUUCAAAGGGAUGGGUGCUGCAGAGAAGCAGAGUGCAACCAGGAUGGAGUCAGUGGCCCACCACGCACAGAAGACUGAAGUAUUGAUCCUAAUUAUUACUGAACCCAAAUUAAGACAAAAUCCCUGUCCAUUUGCUGAAUGCAGUUCAUACUAUUCCAAAAGGCCACACUAAGCCCCAGCUCACAGUGGAUUUUCACAGCUCAAGCACAGUGCUGGGCACUCCCAUGGCUCAGGGUAGGAGGGCUCAGUCUGCCCAGGCAUCUCCUCAGCCCCACACCGAUGUGUUGGUACCUAGAUCUAGAGAGUUAGAUAACACAACACAGCAUCUUCAGAUUCACGGUAAUGUGUUGUUUAAGGAGGCCAAAACAUCAAGGGGGACCAGGCAGGACCAGGACCCUCAAAUCCCCAACUUCACUCCCCCCUCCCCCUCCACCAUCCUCUGAAACCAGGACCGCAAAUUGAGCUUAGCCUCUUCCUCCCCCUCCACUCACACCCUCACUCCUUGAAUUAAGAGGAAAGAAAAUGAACGCUGCAUGCUGCAUCCUGCAACUGAGGCACUGUGCAGCACCAUCCCCAGUGGAUGCAGUCCUCUGGAGACUACAAGAAGUCCCAGGGGGGCAUCAGCAGCCGUGGCACAGCAUCCGCAGCACAGCGGAGUACCACUGCUCGCUCUCCAGCCCUAUUUCUGUGUUCCAUGCCAGUUGGCACUGCUGAUUCUGUGGUGCUCUGGAGUACCCUUAUCUCUCCAGGAGAGGCUUUCACCACAGCCCUUGAGCACUAGGAAAUGGAGAUACUCAACUGCUCUACAUCAAUCAGAGGGGGAGGCUGGGAAGGGGAACAGCGUGUCCCCGCCUGUCGCUCCAUGUAAGCUCUGCCCUUCACUGCUGACAGCAGAUUAAUUCCCAGCCAAAGCACAACACCCUCCUGAUGGAGAGGGGAAGCCUUCAAAAAGCAAAGCCUCCCACCCGUGAGUGCCCUGAAGUGGGGGGCGCAGCUAACAGGCAGCACAGGAGUCCCCAGGACGGAGAGUGCUUGGACAACACUGUCCAUUAGUACCUGGGUAUGGGUGGUGCUGCAAACAGAUUUUGCCAGGAAGCCAGUAGUGGCAUCCCCACAGUGCAGCAGGUCUGGGAAUUUGGGGCAUCUGGAGAUGGUCACAGUGCAACGACAACAUGGUUGCGUUAGGGACCACCCCUUUCCCCCCUAGCUCUGUGGCUGGAGGCUGCGAGUGGGCUCCCACCAGCUCCUGCACCCACAGGGAAGCUUUUCCCCAGGCUGCUCAGAUGAGAGCCCAGGGAAAGGGGGAACUGUCUGCCUGUGCCCUGGGCAAGCUGGGCUGCAAUUUCUCUCCUCCCGCAGCCCACGGCACCAGCUGCCCUCCCAGGGGCUGCUCUCCUCCUGGCAUGCUGUGAGUCACGUCUCUGAUGUCACCUCUCCACGUCACUGGAGCUUGGAAAUGGAUUUAAUGAGCCCGUGUUUUCUUCAGCUAAGAAAAACCUCAAAGAGGCUUAUGCUCGAGCACCCUGAGGAGCCAGCAGGGCUCUCUGCAGCUGCCACAGUCCCCACAGGAGGACAGAUAGCUGCACAGUGCUCCAAAGCAGGGCGGUCAGCACCAAAAGCAGAGCGCCAGACAUGCAGGGGACAACGCAUCACAGAGAUGGGAGGAUGUUUGUCCACAAUGCGCCCUUCCACAUUACCACCCUCCUCAUGGGACGUGGCAGGUGAUGCCCUGCAAUGCCUCAUGAUGCUCACGGGGAGGGGACAGCACAGUAGUGGCACCGUGCCCACACUCAGAGGACCCAGCAGCAUCUCUGAGGGCUGCCACACAAUAAGCUGAGGUGGUGGCCAUUGCUCCUCAUGUUCUCCCACUCCCAGACACAUGUGCUGGACCCAUCCCCACAAACAUCUAUCUUAGGCCGCCCAGCAGCUUUUUUAACACCAGUCACAUUGGGGAUGUGAAUCCUGAUUCACAGCAGUAUAGAUUGAAAUGUGAGCCUGUGGUGUUUUCAGAAGAACAAGUCCUUGUAAAGCAGAAGGGAACAAAAUUCAUUAUCAAAAUCAAGGGAAACGAGGAACAUUUGUUCUCUUUUAUGAAGGUCACUAAGAAAGGAAGCCCUACAUGGGGUCCCUGAAAAGCCAGUAGUGUAUGCAGUCAGCAGACAGAGGGCAUCUUCUAUUAAUGAAGGUGCCUCACCAAAAACACAGGCAUCAUAUAAAUUAUCAGAUAAUGAAAUUCCAGUUAAUUUGCUGCCUGGUCAGCUACAGCCCUCCUGCCAUGCUCCUGAGCCCAGCCAAUAACAUUAAGAAAGAAUUACCUUGCUACUAGGGCAGCUGGUGGAAAACCACAUCCCGAUUACUCGAUUCAGAAAACAAUAUCUUCUCCAGGACAAGAGGGGUGGAUGCUGCAGCCCCAUGGCCCUCCACACUGGGUUGACUACACAGGGACAUGUUCCCAACUGAUUCUUGCAGCCCUUUACCUUUUAGCAGCUUUGCUACCAGGAUCUCUUGAUGGGAUCCUUUUGCCCAGUUGCUCAUGGGCAUCCCACCUCACCCACAGCUCCCUGUUCUCUCCUGGGUUUGUGUCUCCUUACCAGAACCCAGAAGAGCAACCAGAGAACAAGGAGAUGGCAUCCACCCCCUUUGCUCAAGUAAGUUCUUGAUCCCAUGGGUAGAAAGAGACUUAAGAAGGGGAAGUUUGGGGGAACCUUCCCCUUCUAAAUAGGCUGUAGUGGUUGAAAGCAAAGACAAGGCUCAGGAAGAGGUCCUACAUCCUCAACAUGGAGUGGGUUUCAAGUACAAACUGCAUUAUAGCUCCUUCCAUUCUCCUUCUCCAUCUGCUGCUCCAAACUAUCAGAGCACCAAGAAUUCAGCAUGCGCCAUGUAAUUUUAAAGCCAUUAUGUAAGCUGCUCUCCCCUCCCCACCUCUCAAUGUCUCCAAUUGGUGUGUCAGAAUGUAAUUAGCUUUUGAUGGGAUGUUAAGAUUUCUUGAGCUCCCGUGGAGAGGUAGCAUGGGGAGAGGCGAGGCAGCGGAUUGUGAUUGUCACUCCCCACAUAAGUGCUCGAAGACCCUGGAAGACUCAUUUACAAAAAUGUAAAAUAAAUAAAUAAAUAAACCUAAAAGCAGCAGACCCAGUAGGCUUCAGCUUAAUUGACUGAAUUUGUGGGUUAUUUAUUUAUUUUUUUACCUCCGCUUGGUGAGAAAUGAGAAUUAACUCUCUCAUAGCCAACGAAGGAGCGCCAUGCUGUGGCAACGGUCAGGGCUCUAUUGCACAUCCCAGUUGGAGAGGCUGGAAGCACUGAGCUGUUGGUUCCUGCCCUUCCAAGCAGUGCCAGCUUUGCUGCUACAACCAACUGCACGAGGACUCCUCCACCAGAUUCAUUACUGAGUCCUCCAGCCCUGCACCACAAAAACACCAGCCCUCCUGCCAGGGCACCCAAGAAGCAGAAAGGUUUGGGCAUGGCCAAGUGUGCUCCCACAGCCCAAAGGUAACACUUGGAAUCCAGAUCCGUGAGUGUUUCGGGGCUAACAGACCCAACUUGAGGUGCUUGUAAUCUGCCAUGGUGCUUUUACAAAAACAAGCUCCUCUUGAUGUCUUGUUGCCAGCCUCCCAGUGCCCCAUACCACAGACCAGUGCUCUCAUGGUCAUACCACACACUCAGACCUUACUUCACACCCUUUCCCCAAUAGCCGACCCACUUGGAGGUACAGAACGAGGCAGGCAAAUCCCCCAGAACAAGUUUUCCACCAUCUGGCUGGGCCUGAACUUUCACAAGAGCAUCUGCCCCAGCCAACAAGCAUUUACGUGCCUACAGAUGGUGCUCAUAUCACCGAGCAGUAUGUUUGUCUACACAUUGACCCUGGCCCGAAGCCCACUGGAGUCAUCAGAUGCUUUUCAUUAACUCCAACAGGCUGUGGAUGGCAGUUUGGUCAGUCUCCACUGGUGCAGGCAGAGGCACUCAAACGAAUCCUGCAGGAUGCUCAAACGUGUGUGCCUCCAGGUCAGCCCAUAGCAGCUUUCCCAAACACAAGCCUGCCACAGACUCCUUCCAAAUGCACGUGGCUGGAUAUAAAUACGCCUCUGUCUCUGAAUUAGGUGAUGAUGUGAAACACAGGCACAUCCAAUACAAUAAUGAGCCAUUCCCAUCAAAUGCCAAUUCAACUGGAUAAUGGGCCAUAUUGAUUGCUUCGAGGACCAGACCAAUUUCACUUGUCCUUUUAAUGAUUAUUAUGACAUUAUCUAUAUUAUUUCUGCUCAGAAAGAUUAAUUCCCCAUUCCCCACCCCAAUCACUCUGGAUGCGAGGCCAUUCAAGUCUCCAUUCUGAACAGAAGCUGAGGAGACCUCUGCAAGGACUGGACUUAAUUCACUUCUGAAGUGUUAUCAGGCAAUUGGAGCUUUUUUCUCUAAUACUGCCACUGGCAUUAAUGGAAAGAAAACAAUAAAUGUAUCUGGUCACCAAGCAGUCAGCCUCCCCUUUCGUAGCUCUACUGACAUUUCUGUUUCCAGCCCAGACAGUAAUGCAUUCCAUUUUAAUUUUAGCAAACGCUUUCUUUAUGAUCAG